GAUGAACGCUGGCGGCGUGCCUAAUACAUGCAAGUCGAGCGAACAGACGAGGAGCUUGCUCCUCUGACGUUAGCGGCGGACGGGUGAGUAACACGUGGAUAACCUACCUAUAAGACUGGGAUAACUUCGGGAAACCGGAGCUAAUACCGAAUAAUAUAUUGAACCGCAUGGUUCAAUAGUGAAAGACGGUUUUGCUGUCACUUAUAGAUGGAUCCGCGCCGCAUUAGCUAGUUGGUAAGGUAACGGCUUACCAAGGCAACGAUGCGUAGCCGACCUGAGAGGGUGAUCGGCCACACUGGAACUGAGACACGGUCCAGACUCCUACGGGAGGCAGCAGUAGGGAAUCUUCCGCAAUGGGCGAAAGCCUGACGGAGCAACGCCGCGUGAGUGAUGAAGGUCUUCGGAUCGUAAAACUCUGUUAUUAGGGAAGAACAAAUGUGUAAGUAACUAUGCACGUCUUGACGGUACCUAAUCAGAAAGCCACGGCUAACUACGU
This 496-nucleotide ribosomal RNA is filed under the name uncultured bacterium. Its description in RNAcentral is "partial 16S ribosomal RNA". It matches the Rfam family "Bacterial small subunit ribosomal RNA", at positions 28 to 506 of the family's 1533-position model. The record is from RNAcentral.